UGUCUCCCACGGCUUGUAAUGUACAUCGUUUCCGUCGUCCUGCAUAUGGGCGGAGAGAUAGGGUUUGGUUCGUCUUCCUUCCGAUCGAUCAACGCUUCGCCUUUUGCUUCGAUCCGUUGGAGACGAUCCGAAGAGCGACUCAUGCUGGAUCCAGGUACACCAGCAACGGUGAAUCUCUCAAACCCCUGCUACAUUUUGAUCUCUUGAGAAGCCAAUUAUGGAACGGAUUUUGAGGAGGAAGUAUUUGUGCUGCAUGUGCGUUUGCAUUGUUUGAUGUGAAAAAAUAUUAAGAAUCAAUCGAUUGAAUAUUGUUGGGAGAUGAAUUUUAGGUCAGAUAUUUCUGCCAUUGACAGACAGGUGGGUUAUUGUUGGGAAACAAAUAGGUAAUCGGCUCUUGGGAUAACGAAAAUAUAAAUUCAAAGGUUAACAUUUUAUUUUUAGAACAUUGGUUCAUGUAUGAUAUGCUUGGAUAGCUUGCUACUGUUUUGCAGAGAAAAUAUGUUGAGAAUAUCCCCCUUUCAGACCAAAUUUUCAAAGUGUCCUUUGGUACUUUUAGCAUAUGCAUCGAACCGAACUUUAAAAAACGGCAUAAACAUCGAACCAGCAGAUCUUUGAUAAUAUGUAGCGCAUAUUUGGAGUACUACCUAUAGGAUUGAUGAAAUGGGUAGCUUAAAGUUGUGGUAAAAGAAAAUGUCAUAAGAAAUUCAUUGAGACCUCAAGGUGAAGAGUUAAUUUUACAAAUAUUAUAAAGUCAGGUACCUUUUGGUUGGAUGUUGAGCCUGAAUAAUAGCCCAGUGGGUGGAGUAAAAAAAUCAACUUUUACUUUGUAUUGUUUCCUGAGUAUGUCAACAUAGAUGUAUGAGAUUGAUUGAUAAUAAAGUGAAAUAGUGAAGAAAAUCUUAUUGAGUUUAGGAACAAAAGUAUUAUUCAGUGAUGGUAUUGAUGGAAAGACUGUGAGUAGUAUAGUGAGGACCGAACAUUAUGAUUGAAGUGAUUUACUUUGUUAAAUUAGGCAACUAAGUUUCUUCAGCUUAUCUUUCAUAUCCAGCAUGGUUUUUCUGUUUCGUAAUGGGUAAAGUGAUGAUAAAUGCACGUGCCUUAACGAUAUAAAGAUUUGAAAAGUUCAUCAGUAAUUUGCUAGAAUAAGUUUUUAAGGAGAUACGGAUCUAAAAUGUUUCACAUGGUGUUUAUUUUUGUGGGAAGCUUCAAGCUUGUACACUCUUUAAAUUGCGUCUUGCUCUUUUCUGAGUCCAAGAAUUUGACAACCAAUGACCAAUCACCAAUUCUGAUUUCAAGAGCUCAAGGCUGGUUUAUCAUAAUAAAAAGAACAUGCAUAUGAAGACUGGGUUGACAAAUAGUUCAAUAAGUAUGACCUACAGCAUGAUUUAGAGUCCCACACAUACAUUGUUUUGUUUGACAAAUGGUUCAAUGACCUACAGAAUAUGAUGCACUAACAACUAUGGUCAUACCAUUUUUUUCUUCCUUUGCGGUUAUCCUAUAAAUGUUGUUCCCAUUUUAGUUGGUGCCAGUGAUUGAAAGAGGCGCUCGGGCGCUCGCCUAGGCGCUCGGGCGAGGCGAGGCGAGGCGAGGCCCGAGCGCCUUGCUAAUGUCCCAGGCGGCGCGCUUCAAACAGGCGCCGCCUGGGCGCUCGCCCGAGCCCAGGCGCUGGGCGCUUCGGGCGAGCGCCUAGGUAAACCAAGUGACCGAACUAGGAUUUUAGGUCUGGUUCGGUCCUGGUUCGGUUGUUAGUUGGUUCAAUCGAACCAACUAAACCGAUAUAACCCUUACCCAACCCUAACCCUAACCCAACCCUAACCCGCUGUCGUUGCCGCUCCCGAUCUCGCUGCUCGUCGCUCCUGCUCCCGCUGCCGCUGCUCGCGCCUCCCGCGAGCCUUCCCUCUGCUCGUGACUCUCGCUGCUCGCGCCUCCCGCGAGCCCUCCAGCUGCUCGCGCCUCCCGCGAGCCUUCCCUCUGCUCGCGACUCCCUGCUCGCGCCUCCCGUGAGCCCUCCCAGCUGCUCGCGCCUCCCACGAGCCCUCCCGCUGCUCGCGACUCCCGCGAGCCCUCCCGUUGCUCGCGCCUCCCGCGAGCCUUCCCUCUGCUCGCGACUAGAAUUUUUAUUUAAAAUAGCAUAUUUUUAUUUAAAAUUUUAAAUAUUUAUAUUUAUUAAUUAUAUUAUAUAUUUUUAUAUUUUAGCGUCUCGCUUCGCUCGGGCGAGCGCCUGGAUGAGCGCCUAGCGCCUCGGGCGUUUUUGGACCUUGGCGCCUUUUGGCGCCUAGCGCUUUUUAAAUCACUGGUUGGUGCUGUUAACUCAGACAGUGAAGUCAUGUACGGACGAUGGCUUGCUUAGUAUGUGGACAAUCCUAAGAACUUGUGUGUCAUCAGAAUUCUGUACUUGGGGCUCUAGCUGUCAAGGAACGUGUUCCAUCCUACACUGCUGGCUCAGCAUCAACCUUGUUGAAUCUGUAGAAACCAUGUACCAAAUUUUUAUGCAUGACUGUAAUAGGUGCAGUCAUACAUGACUAGAAGCAUGGUCCCAUUUACUAGUCCAUAGAGGCAUGGAUAUCAAAGAGACCGGAGAUGCUGAUUUGUUCAAGCGUUAUCUCCAAGACUAUGUCAAAACAAUCAGUGGCUGCCAUCCCAUCAGCAUCUUCCUCCAUAUGCUAAAAGUUUCCUAGACACGAGCAAUCAAGCCAGGCCACAAGCAUGCGGGAGCAGCUGAGCUAUGCAUCAGCAGCUGCAUGGUAAAAUAGUUGACAUGAAUUCAGAAAUUGUUCGCCGAUGUGUUACGGUAUCUUUCCUAUUGAAGCUAUAUGGUACAUUCCUUGAAGCACAAACAUUCAGCAGUGGCCGGACUUCCGAUCCUCUUUAUAUAGCAUUUCAUGUGUCACGUUGAAUCA
This is a long non-coding RNA of Musa acuminata AAA Group (dessert banana), 2900 nucleotides long. RefSeq lists it as uncharacterized. NCBI's taxonomy places the organism in Eukaryota, Viridiplantae, Streptophyta, Magnoliopsida, Zingiberales, Musaceae. The record is from RefSeq and is a predicted model, not a curated record. The transcript has 3 exons.